GCCGAAAUAGCUCAGUUGGCAGAGCGUUAGACUGAAGAUCUAAAGGUCCCUGGUUCAAGCCCGGGUUUCGGCA
This 73-nucleotide transfer RNA is filed under the name Perca fluviatilis (European perch). It matches the Rfam family "tRNA". Rfam says of the family: Transfer RNA (tRNA) molecules are approximately 80 nucleotides in length. Lineage: Eukaryota; Metazoa; Chordata; Actinopteri; Perciformes; Percidae. The record is from Rfam by way of RNAcentral.